CCUUCCCUCCACUCGGGGAUACCCCGUUGAAAGACGGCCUAAUACCCGAUGUUGUCCACAUAUGGCAUCUGACGUGGACCAAAGAUUCAUCGGUGGAGGAUGGGGAUGCGUCUGAUUAGCUUGUUGGUGCGGGUAACGGCCCACCAAGGCGACGAUCAGUAGGGGUUCUGAGAGGAAGGUCCCCCACAUUGGAACUGAGACACGGUCCAAACUCCUACGGGAGGCAGCAGUGAGGAAUAUUGGUCAAUGGACGUAAGUCUGAACCAGCCAAGUAGCGUGCAGGAUUGACGGCCCUAUGGAGUUGUAAACUGCUUUUGUUGGGGAGUAAAGUGAGGCACGCGUGCCUUUUUGCAUUUACCCUUCGAAUAAGGACCGGCUAAUUCCGUGCCAGCAGCCGCGGUAAUACGGAAGGUCCAGGCGUUAUCCGGAUUUAUUGGGUUUAAAGGGAGUGUAGGCGGUCUGUUAAGCGUGUUGUGAAAUUUAGGUGCUCAACAUUUAACUUGCAGCGCGAACUGGCGGACUUGAGUGCACGCAACGUAUGCGGAAUUCAUGGUGUAGCGGUGAAAUGCUUAGAUAUCAUGACGAACUCCGAUUGCGAAGGCAGCGCUACGGGAGUGUUACUGACGCUUAAGCUCGAAGGUGCGGGUAUCGAACAGGAUUAGAUACCCUGGUAGUCCGCACGGUAAACGAUGGAUGCCCGCUGUUAGCGCCUGGCGUUAGCGGCUAAGCGAAAGCAUUAAGCAUCCCACCUGGGGAGUACGCCGGCAACGGUGAAACUCAAAGGAAUUGACGGGGGCCCGCACAAGCGGAGGAACAUGUGGUUUAAUUCGAUGAUACGCGAGGAACCUUACCCGGGCUUGAAUUGCAGACGUAGGAUACAG
This 881-nucleotide ribosomal RNA is filed under the name Prevotella intermedia. RNAcentral describes it as "bacterial SSU rRNA". It matches the Rfam family "Bacterial small subunit ribosomal RNA", at positions 125 to 1003 of the family's 1533-position model. Lineage: Bacteria; Pseudomonadati; Bacteroidota; Bacteroidia; Bacteroidales; Prevotellaceae. The record is from RNAcentral.